GGGAGGGAAGACGGAUGGAGGAGUCAAGGCUGUCGCCGGCAACGUGCACGCCCCUUUCUCUUUCGUGGAACCUCCCCUUUCUAGUUUCCUUAUCCACCUGUGCACCCUUUGUAGGCCCUCGAAAGAGGAUCUACGUUUUCUCUAUAUACGCUUUUUGCUACGCAUGUCCAGAAUGUAUACAAACUUUACAACUUUCAGCAACGGAUCUCUUGGCUCUCGCAUCGAUGAAGAACGCAGCGAAUUGCGAUAAGUAAUGUGAAUUGCAGAUUUUCAGUGAAUCAUCGAAUCUUUGAACGCACCUUGCGCUCCUUGGUAUUCCGAGGAGCAUGCCUGUUUGAGUGUCAUCGAAUUCUCAACCAUGUCUUGAAUUAGGCAUGGCUUGGACUUGGGGGUUGCUGGCACACGUUGUCAAGCUCUCCUGAAAUGCAUUAGCGAUGUUCAGCAAGCCUGAACGUGCACGGCCUUUUCGACGUGAUAACGAUCGUCGUGGGCUGGAGCGUAGGGUGAGCAGUGAAUCGCUUCUAAUCUAUACCUCAGUUACUAGUCGGUCGUGAGACUGACGAACGCGCGAGGCUUGAUCUUGGACCCCAAGCCUUAGUUACUAGUCGGUCGUGAGGCCGACGAACGCGCAGGGUUAGGACCAUUUGAACUCUUGACCUCAAAUCAGGUAGGACUACCCGCUGAACUUAAGCAUAUCAAUAAGCGGAGGAAAAGAAACUAACAAGGAUUCCCCUAGUAACUGCGAGUGAAGCGGGAAAAGCUCAAAUUUUGAAUCUGGCAGUCUUUGCAGGCCGUCCGAGUUGUAAUCUAGAGAAGCGUCUUCCGCGCCGGCCUGUGUACAAGUCUCCUGGAAGGGAGCGUCAUAGAGGGUGAGAAUCCCGUCUCUGACACGGACCACCGGUGGAUGCGCUCUCGACGAGUCGAGUUGUUUGGGAAUGCAGCUCAAAAAGGGUGGUAAACUCCAUCUAAAGCUAAAUAUUGGCGAGAGACCGAUAGCGAACAAGUACCGUGAGGUAAAGAUGAAAAGGGAAACGCUUGAAGA
Molecule: ribosomal RNA, 1042 nt
Filed under: uncultured Boletaceae
Lineage: Eukaryota; Fungi; Basidiomycota; Agaricomycetes; Boletales; Boletaceae
Description: eukaryotic LSU rRNA
Rfam family: Eukaryotic large subunit ribosomal RNA (bases 654-1042)
Source: RNAcentral